GCCUCAGGGACGGCCUCUCCAAACUAAUAGGCUGGGCCCAGUGAGCAGGUCCAGGUGGCUGGAGCAAGGUGGGGGAUGGUAGGGCCCUGAAGGUAGAGGAGAGGGGCUGGGGACAAGUUCCUCAUGGCAGCAGGACUGCAGGCUUGGGUGUCCCCCAGCAGGGGGCAGCCAACUGCUUCUCACAGAUUGUCCAGCUGGGGUCAGAGGGGAUGCAGGGGUGUGGUCUGAAGGCCUCUGUGGGCAACACAGAAGCGCAGUUGGGUCUUCAUUAAGAUUCUGUGUGACUCCUUUCAGAGUCCCUGCUGGGAAGCCUGGGGAUGGGACAGAGGAGAAGACUGCUCUGCCUCUUGCCACCGGGUGGGAAUCCCGGUGCCCCCGGCAGGUCUGCUCUGGAGGGCCAAGGCUGGGGGUCAGCAUGUGGCUGGAGAGUGAGGGGCAUCCAGCAUCUCCUGGCCAGGGGUGGCCAUUGUGUAGGGGCCUGGUGGUGCCACCUCAGCUUGUAGUGACCACGAGCCAGUGUCCAGAAGGUCCCAGCACAGCAUGGUCAUGAUAGCCUGCCCGCUCAACAUCUCUCUAACACAACGAGGGACAUUCUUUUCCCACAAUUUCCUGUCAACACGGAAUCCCACAAACCCCAGCGGUUCACUUGUCCUGAUUUUGAAAGUCAUUAUGGUUGAGACGGGGCAAGAUGAGAGUUGAUUAAGAAAAUAUUUGUGACCCAAGAAGGAGUGCCCAAGUGAACGUCACAAAUGGGACCAGUGGGCAGCUGCUGCCAGCCAUUCAGGAGGAAGAGUGACUCGGCCUCACAGAGAGGGACAGUGGCUGAGUUCACAGCUGAGGCUUGGUGUUUGUCCCGUGCUUAGAUGGCCUCUGCGUGAGUCCGGCAGCGAUGCUCUGUAUGGAUUUCACCACCUCCAAUGCCUCAGUCUGCUUAACAACCAUGGAGGUGGACAGAGGGAAAUUGCCACCAGAAAAGGAAACUGGAGGUUGGCUCAUCAGUGGGCGCCUGUCUCAUGCGGCUCUCUGAGACCUGCCGACUCUUCUGGAAAAAUCUAUCCUCCUCCUUUGUCUCUGAGCCUUGGGUCUGAGAUGGAGAGGACCAGGAGGCGUGCCCAGCCCGAGGGGCAGACUUGUGCUGUUGCCUGUCCUGUGCUCUUGCUGGUCCUGGGCUCAGCUUCAGAUGCACUUCUUGAGUCCAUUUCUCCCUGGCUACCCAUG
This 1218-nucleotide long non-coding RNA is filed under the name Marmota monax (woodchuck). The record is from RNAcentral. Lineage: Eukaryota; Metazoa; Chordata; Mammalia; Rodentia; Sciuridae.